RNAcentral lists this ribosomal RNA (253 nucleotides) under uncultured bacterium. RNAcentral describes it as "partial 16S ribosomal RNA". It matches the Rfam family "Bacterial small subunit ribosomal RNA", at positions 524 to 776 of the family's 1533-position model. The record is from RNAcentral.
UACGUAGGGGGCAAGCGUUGUCCGGAAUCAUUGGGCGUAAAGAGCGUGUAGGCGGCCCGAUAAGUCCGCUGUGAAAGUCCAGGGCUCAACCCUGGGAUGCCGGUGGAUACUGUCGGGCUCGAGUCCGGAAGAGGAGUGUGGAAUUCCCAGUGUAGAGGUGAAAUUCGUAGAUAUUGGGAAGAACACCGGUGGCGAAGGCGGCUCUCUGGACCGAUACUGACGCUGAGGCGCGAAAGCUAGGGGAGCAAACGGG